UACGUAGGUGGCAAGCGUUGUCCGGAUUUAUUGGGCGUAAAGGGGGCGCAGGCGGUUCCUUAAGUCUGAUGUGAAAACCCACGGCUCAACCGUGGAAGGUCAUUGGAAACUGGGGAACUUGAGUGCAGAAGAGGAGAGUGGAAUUCCAUGUGUAGCGGUGAAAUGCGUAGAUAUAUGGAGGAACACCGGUGGCGAAAGCGGCUCUCUGGCUUGUAACUGACGCUGAGGCUCGAAAGCGUGGGGAGCAAACAGG
This 253-nucleotide ribosomal RNA is filed under the name uncultured bacterium. RNAcentral's name for it is "partial 16S ribosomal RNA". It matches the Rfam family "Bacterial small subunit ribosomal RNA", at positions 524 to 776 of the family's 1533-position model. The record is from RNAcentral.